This 78-nucleotide transfer RNA is filed under the name Candidatus Bathyarchaeota archaeon. Its description in RNAcentral is "tRNA-Met". It matches the Rfam family "tRNA". From Rfam's summary of the family: Transfer RNA (tRNA) molecules are approximately 80 nucleotides in length. Their secondary structure includes four short double-helical elements and three loops (D, anti-codon, and T loops). Further hydrogen bonds mediate the characteristic L-shaped molecular structure. tRNAs have two regions of fundamental functional importance: the anti-codon, which is responsible for specific mRNA codon recognition, and the 3' end, to which the tRNAs corresponding amino acid is attached (by aminoacyl-tRNA synthetases). tRNAs cope with the degeneracy of the genetic code in two manners: having more than one tRNA (with a specific anti-codon) for a particular amino acid; and 'wobble' base-pairing, i.e. permitting non-standard base-pairing at the 3rd anti-codon position. RNAcentral also lists the same sequence under 1 other name. The record is from RNAcentral. Lineage: Archaea; Thermoproteati; Candidatus Bathyarchaeota.
GCCGGGGUAGCUCAGCCUGGUUAGAGCGCCGGACUCAUAAUCCGGAGGUCGCGGGUUCGAAUCCCGCCCCCGGCACCA